Thioclava sp. SK-1 is the source of this 1794-nucleotide ribosomal RNA. It matches the Rfam family "Bacterial large subunit ribosomal RNA", at positions 1064 to 2925 of the family's 2925-position model. The record is from Rfam. NCBI's taxonomy places the organism in Bacteria, Pseudomonadati, Pseudomonadota, Alphaproteobacteria, Rhodobacterales, Paracoccaceae.
UGGGAAAGCAUGUGGGACUUCCAAAACAACCAGGAGGUUGGCUUAGAAGCAGCCAUCCUUUAAAGAUAGCGUAACAGCUCACUGGUCUAGUUAAGAGGUCCUGCGGCGAAGAUGUAACGGGGCUCAAGCCACGAGCCGAAGCUUUGGAUGUGUACCGCAAGGUGCACGUGGUAGCGGAGCGUUCUGUGAUAUAGAACGCUGCCUCUUUUGCCUCCUCGGAGGUAACGGAGGCAAUGUUCUGACUGUGAAGCCGGGCUGUAAGGCAUCCGGUGGAGUGAUCAGAAGUGAGAAUGUUGACAUGAGUAGCGACAAACAGGGUGAGAGACCCUGUCGCCGAAAGUCCAAGGGUUCCUGCUUAAAGCUAAUCUGAGCAGGGUAAGCCGGCCCCUAAGGCGAGGCCGAAAGGCGUAGUCGAUGGGAACCAGGUUAAUAUUCCUGGGCCGUGAGAAGGUGACGGAUUGCGAAGGUUGUUCGAUCUUAUCGGAUUGAUCGGGCCGCUUAGCAGUCCCUGGAAAUAGCCUCUCUAUAAGACCGUACCCGAAACCGACACAGGUGGACUGGUAGAGAAUACCAAGGCGCUUGAGAGAACCACGUUUAAGGAACUCGGCAAAAUGCCUCCGUAAGUUCGCGAGAAGGAGGCCCCAUUUGAACGCAAGUUCAGGUGGGGGGCACAAACUAGGGGGUGGCGACUGUUUACUUAAAACACAGGGCUGUGCGAAGCCGUAAGGCGACGUAUACAGUCUGACGCCUGCCCGGUGCCGGAAGGUUAAAAGGAGGAGUGCAAGCUCCGAAUUGAAGCCCCGGUAAACGGCGGCCGUAACUAUAACGGUCCUAAGGUAGCGAAAUUCCUUGUCGGGUAAGUUCCGACCUGCACGAAUGGCGUAACGAUCUCCCCGCUGUCUCAAACGUGGACUCAGCGAAAUUGAACUGUGUGUCAAGAUGCACACUACCCGCGGUUAGACGGAAAGACCCCAUGAACCUUUACUACAGCUUCGCACUGGCAUCAGGAUUGCGAUGUGCAGGAUAGGUGGUAGGCUUUGAAGCCAGAACGCAAGUUUUGGUGGAGCCAUCCUUGAGAUACCACCCUUUGCACUCUUGAUGUCUAACCGCGGUCCGUUAUCCGGAUCCGGGACCCUGCGUGGUGGGUAGUUUGACUGGGGCGGUCGCCUCCCAAAGAGUAACGGAGGCGCGCGAAGGUUGGCUCAGACCGGUCGGAAAUCGGUCGUUGAGUGCAAUGGCAGAAGCCAGCCUGACUGCAAGACUGACAAGUCGAGCAGAGACGAAAGUCGGCCAUAGUGAUCCGGUGGUCCCGAGUGGAAGGGCCAUCGCUCAACGGAUAAAAGGUACUCUGGGGAUAACAGGCUGAUGGUGCCCAAGAGUCCAUAUCGACGGCACCGUUUGGCACCUCGAUGUCGGCUCAUCUCAUCCUGGGGCUGGAGCAGGUCCCAAGGGUACGGCUGUUCGCCGUUUAAAGAGGUACGUGAGCUGGGUUUAGAACGUCGUGAGACAGUUCGGUCCCUAUCUGCCGUGGGUGUAGGAUACUUGAGAAGAGUUGCCCCUAGUACGAGAGGACCGGGGUGAACGGACCACUGGUGGACCAGUUAUCGUGCCAACGGUAGUGCUGGGUAGCUAUGUCCGGACAGGAUAACCGCUGAAAGCAUCUAAGCGGGAAGCCCCCUUCAAAACUAGGUAUCCCUUGAGGGCCGUGGUAGACCACCACGUCGAUAGGCCAGAGAUGUAAGCGCAGCAAUGCGUUCAGUUGACUGGUACUAAUUGCCCGAUUGGCUUGAUUUG